Molecule: ribosomal RNA, 254 nt
Filed under: uncultured bacterium
Lineage: Bacteria
Description: partial 16S ribosomal RNA
Rfam family: Bacterial small subunit ribosomal RNA
Source: RNAcentral
UACGAGUGCCUCGAGCGUUAUCCGGAAUCAUUGGGCGUAAAGGGUGUGUAGGCGGCGAUGUUAGUCUCAUGUUAAAUCUUUCGGCUCAACCGAGAGUCCGCAUGGGAAACGGCAUUGCUCAGAGGACGGAAGGGGUCACUGGAACUCAUGGUGUAGCGGUGAAAUGCGUUGAUAUCAUGGGGAACACCAAAAGCGAAGGCAAGUGACUGGUCCGCUCCUGACGCUGAGGCACGAAGGCCAGGGGAGCAAACGGG